This 225-nucleotide ribosomal RNA is filed under the name Pseudopolybia aff. compressa morph2 MDS-2020. RNAcentral's name for it is "partial small subunit ribosomal RNA". The record is from RNAcentral. Lineage: Eukaryota; Metazoa; Arthropoda; Insecta; Hymenoptera; Vespidae.
UUAAAUCAUUAAAUUAAAAAGAUUUGGCGGUAUCUUAUAAAAUUAGAGGAACCYGUAUAAUAAUUGAUAGUCCACAAUAAAAUAAACUUAGACAYUUAUGUAUUGCUGUUAUAAGAUUAUUAUUAAUUAAAUUUUUAAUUAUUUAAUUUAAAUUAAUUCAAGUCAAAAUAUAGUGUUAUUAAGAUAUGGGUUACAAUUUAUUUAUGAAAGAGGAUUUAAUAGUAA